CCUACGGGUGGCAGCAGUGAGGAAUAUUGGUCAAUGGACGAGAGUCUGAACCAGCCAAGUAGCGUGAAGGAUGACUGCCCUAUGGGUUGUAAACUUCUUUUAUAUGGGAAUAAAAUGUUCCACGUGUGGGAUUUUGUAUGUACCCUAUGAAUAAGGAUCGGCUAACUCCGUGCCAGCAGCCGCGGUAAUACGGAGGAUCCGAGCGUUAUCCGGAUUUAUUGGGUUUAAAGGGAGCGUAGGUGGAUUGUUAAGUCAGUUGUGAAAGUUUGCGGCUCAACCGUAAAAUUGCAGUUGAAACUGGCAGUCUUGAGUGCAGUAGAGGUGGGCGGAAUUCGUGGUGUAGCGGUGAAAUGCUUAGAUAUCACGAAGAACUCCGAUUGCGAAGGCAGUUCACUGGACUGCAACUGACGCUGAGGCUCGAAAGUGUGGGUAUCAAACAGGAUUAGAUACCCCUGUAGUC
RNAcentral lists this ribosomal RNA (460 nucleotides) under uncultured bacterium. Its description in RNAcentral is "partial 16S ribosomal RNA". It matches the Rfam family "Bacterial small subunit ribosomal RNA", at positions 338 to 795 of the family's 1533-position model. The record is from RNAcentral.